Molecule: ribosomal RNA, 497 nt
Filed under: uncultured bacterium
Lineage: Bacteria
Description: partial 16S ribosomal RNA
Rfam family: Bacterial small subunit ribosomal RNA
Source: RNAcentral
GAUGAACGCUGGCGGCGUGCCUAAUACAUGCAAGUCGAGCGAACGGACGAGAAGCUUGCUUCUCUGAUGUUAGCGGCGGACGGGUGAGUAACACGUGGAUAACCUACCUAUAAGACUGGGAUAACUACGGGAAACCGGAGCUAAUACCGGAUAAUAUUUUGAACCGCAUGGUUCAAAAGUGAAAGACGGUCUUGCUGUCACUUAUAGAUGGAUCCGCGCUGCAUUAGCUAGUUGGUAAGGUAACGGCUUACCAAGGCAACGAUGCAUAGCCGACCUGAGAGGGUGAUCGGCCACACUGGAACUGAGCCACGGUCCAGACUCCUACGGGAGGCAGCAGUAGGGAAUCUUCCGCAAUGGGCGAAAGCCUGACGGAGCAACGCCGCGUGAGUGAUGAAGGUCUUCGGAUCGUAAAACUCUGUUAUUAGGGAAGAACAUAUGUGUAAGUAACUGUGCACAUCUUGACGGUACCUAAUCAGAAAGCCACGGCUAACUACGUG